CCUACGGGGGGCAGCAGUGGGGGAUAUUGCACAAUGGGGGAAACCCUGAUGCAGCGACGCCGCGUGGGCGAAGAAGUAUUUCGGUAUGUAAAGCCCUAUCAUCAGGGAAGAAGAAAUGACGGUACCUGAGUAAGAAGCACCGGCUAAAUACGUGCCAGCAGCCGCGGGAAUAUGUAUGGUGCAAGCGUUAUCCGGAUUUACUGGGUGGAAAGGGAGCGCAGGCGGCACGGCAAGCCUGAUGGGAAAGCCGGCGGCCCAACCGAGGGAGUGCAUUGGAAACUACCGGGCUGGAGUGCCGGAGAGGUAGGCGGAAGUGCGAGUGUAGCGGUGAAAUGCGUAGAUAUUAGGAGGAACACCAGUGGCGAAGGCGGCCUACUGGACAGUGACUGACGCUGAGGCUCGAAAGCGUGGGGAGCAAACAGGAUUAGAUACCCGGGUAGUC
Molecule: ribosomal RNA, 442 nt
Filed under: uncultured bacterium
Lineage: Bacteria
Description: partial 16S ribosomal RNA
Rfam family: Bacterial small subunit ribosomal RNA
Source: RNAcentral